UGAAUACGAGACGCUACGGCGUCGAAGCAGUCUAUGUCAUACUUCCAAGAAAAGCUCGCAAUGUCAUAAACAAAUAAUGCCUGUACCAUAACCGACACAGGUGGGUAGGUAGAGUAUACUAAGGGGCGCGAGAUAACUCUCUCUAAGGAACUCGGCAAAAUGACUCCGUAACUUCGGGAGAAGGAGUGCCUUAUUUAUAAGGUUGCAAUAACAAGAUCCAAGCAACUGUUUAUCAAAAACACAGGUCUCCGCUAAGUCGUAAGACGAUGUAUGGGGGCUGACGCCUGCCCAGUGCCAGAAGGUUAAAGAAGUUGGUUAGCAUUCGCGAAGCUGAUAACUGAAGCCCUGGUGAACGGCGGCCGUAACAAUAACGGUCCUAAGGUAGCGAAAUUCCUUGUCGGGUAAGUUCCGACCCGCACGAAAGGCGUAAUGAUUUGGAUACUGUCUCGGAGAGGGGCUCGGUGAAAUAGACUUGUCUGUGAAGAUGCGGACUACCUGCACCUGGACAGAAAGACCCUAUGAAGCUUUACUGUAACUUGAAAUUGAAAUUGGACUUUAUUUGCGCAGCAUAGGUGGGAGGCGUUGAGAGUAUUCUUGCGGGAAUAUUGGAGCCAUCAGUGAGAUACCACUCUUGUAAUGUUAGAUUUCUAACUUUGGAUCAUUAUCUGGUCAAAGAACAGUUUCAGGCGGGCAGUUUGACUGGGGCGGUCGCCUCCCAAAUGGUAACGGAGGCGUACAAAGGUUUCCUCUGAACGGGUAGAAAUCGUUUCUAGAGUGUAAAGGCAUAAGGAAGCUUGACUGUGAGACCUACAAGUCGAGCAGGGACGAAAGUCGGUCUUAGUGAUCUGACGGUGCUGAGUGGAAAGGCCGUCACUCAACGGAUAAAAGUUACUCUAGGAUAACAGGCUGAUCUCCCCCAAGAGUUCACAUCGACGGGGAGGUUUGGCACCUCGAUGUCGGCUCAUCGCAUCCUGGGGCGGUAGUACGUCCCAAGGGUUGGGCUGUUCGCCCAUGAAAGCGGUACGCGAGCUGGGUUCAGAACGUCGUGAGACAGUUCGGUCCAUAUCCGGUGUAGGCGUUAGAAUAUUGAGAGGAGCCUUCUUUAGUACGAGAGGACCGAGAAGGACAUACCUCUGGUGUACCAGUUAUCGUGCCAACGGUAAACGCUGGGUAGCUAUGUAUGGAGAGGAUAACCGCUGAAAGCAUCUAAGAGGGAAGCCCACCUCAAGAUAAGUAUUCGC
This 1241-nucleotide ribosomal RNA is filed under the name metagenome. RNAcentral's name for it is "bacterial LSU rRNA". It matches the Rfam family "Bacterial large subunit ribosomal RNA", at positions 1564 to 2815 of the family's 2925-position model. The record is from RNAcentral.